CAAGGCCUGUACUCACCAGGACCAAGGGCCCCCUGAGAGAUGGUGGGUGCGGUCCAGGCUGAUCUGGAGCAGGGGCUGGGUCCCCCUUCCAUUCCUUGAGAUGCAGGUGGGCACUCACUACCCUCCCGCAGGUGACCUGUUGGGCAAGAGGCUGGGCCGCUCCCCCCAUAUCAGCAGCGACUGCUUUUCACAGAAGAGGGCAUGAAGCGAAUCCCCUCACGGUAAGAGCGUGGCUGGGACGAGAGACAGGUCACCAGGGGAGGGGGCAGUCCCUGAGGGUCCCCUGGACCUCGAGCAGGCACUCUAGAGGGGCGUGGUCCUGGGCAGUGCCUGGAGAAACCUCUCACCCCGGGUCCUCUCCAGCAGAGGUGCUGCUGCUGCCACCGGAGCUGGGGCCCAGCAUGGCCCCGGAGGACCAUUAUCGCCGGCUUGUGUCAGCACUGAGUGAGGCCAGCACCUUUGAGGAUCCUCAGCGCCUCUACCACCUGGGCCUCCCCAGCCACGGCUCUGUGGCCUCGGGACGUCUGCACAGCCCCCUCCCCGCAAGGCUCAGCCGCCUCUCAGGCCAGAAGCCCAGGCACCCGGCUCCCCUUCGGGGAAGAGCUUUUCCCGACACUUCCCGGCGCAGCAUCUUCUCUGCCGUCACGGCCCUGUGGCCGCCCAUCCUCCUGCCCCGUGCCCGAGACCAGCCCAGGGGCCGAACACGGCCGAGUGGUGUGGUCAGUUCCCCACCUCAGUGUUCUACGCCAGGACGCGGGCUGGGGAGGAUGAGGUCGCAUAGCCGGGGGGGGGAGGUCACUGCUGUUGUCGCCCACCCAGAUCUCCUGAGGGUCCGGCAGGAGGUGGCAGCUGCAGCUCUGAGGGGCCCCAGUGGCCUGGAAGCCCACCUGCCCUCCUCCACGGCAGGUCAGCGUCGGAAGCAGGGCCUGGCUCAGCACCGGGAGGGCGCCGCCCCAGCUGCCGCC
This 965-nucleotide long non-coding RNA is filed under the name Pan troglodytes (chimpanzee). RNAcentral describes it as "lncRNA (ENSPTRG00000053614.1)". The record is from RNAcentral. Lineage: Eukaryota; Metazoa; Chordata; Mammalia; Primates; Hominidae.